This 344-nucleotide ribosomal RNA is filed under the name uncultured bacterium. Its description in RNAcentral is "bacterial SSU rRNA". It matches the Rfam family "Bacterial small subunit ribosomal RNA", at positions 8 to 334 of the family's 1533-position model. The record is from RNAcentral.
AGGGUUUGAUUCUGGCUCAGGACGAACGCUGGCGGCGUGCCUAACACAUGCAAGUCGAACGAAGCACUUCUGAAUGGAGAUUCGUCAAAGUUCAGAUUUGACUUAGUGGCGGACGGGUGAGUAAUGCAUGAGCAACCUGCCCUGCAGUGGGGGACAACAGUUGGAAACGACUGCUAAUACCGCAUGAUGUAUCUGGAAGGCAUCUUCCGGAUACCAAAGAUUUAUCGCUGUGGGAUGGGCUCAUGUCUGAUUAGUUAGUUGGUGGGGUAACGGCCUACCAAGACUGCGAUCAGUAGCCGGACUGAGAGGUUGAACGGCCACAUUGGGACUGAGAUACGGCCCAG